This 448-nucleotide ribosomal RNA is filed under the name uncultured Dehalococcoidia bacterium. RNAcentral describes it as "bacterial SSU rRNA". It matches the Rfam family "Bacterial small subunit ribosomal RNA", at positions 920 to 1382 of the family's 1533-position model. The record is from RNAcentral. Lineage: Bacteria; Bacillati; Chloroflexota; Dehalococcoidia.
CCCGCACAAGCGGUGGAGCAUGUGGUUUAAUUCGAUGCAACGCGAAGAACCUUACCAAGACUUGACAUGUUGGAAGUAGCAAACCGAAAGGCGAGCCACCUGUUAAAUCAGGAGCCUUCACAGGUGCUGCAUGGCUGUCGUCAGCUCGUGCCGUGAGGUGUUGGGUUAAGUCCCCCAACGAGCGUAACCCUUAUUGCCAGUUAUUUUCUCUGGCGAGACUGCCCGCAAAACGGGGAGGAAGUGGGAUGACGUCAAGUCAGCACGGCCCUUAUGUCUUGGGCUACGCACACGCUACAAUGGACGGUACAAUGGGAUGCAAUGGAGCGAUUCGGAGCCAAUCCACAAAACCGUUCUCAGUUCGGAUUGCAGGCUGAAACCCGCCUGCAUGAAGUCGGAGUUGCUAGUAAACGCAAGUCAGCAUAUUGCGUUGAAUACGUUCUCGGGCCUU